GACGUGCUAAUCUGCGAUAAGCGUCGGUAAGGUGAUAUGAACCGUUAUAACCGGCGAUUUCCGAAUGGGGAAACCCAGUGUGUUUCGACACACUAUCAUUAACUGAAUCCAUAGGUUAAUGAGGCGAACCGGGGGAACUGAAACAUCUAAGUACCCCGAGGAAAAGAAAUCAACCGAGAUUCCCCCAGUAGCGGCGAGCGAACGGGGAGCAGCCCAGAGCCUGAAUCAGUGUGUGUGUUAGUGGAAGCGUCUGGAAAGGCGUGCGAUACAGGGUGACAGCCCCGUACACAAAAAUGCACAUGCUGUGAGCUCGAUGAGUAGGGCGGGACACGUGGUAUCCUGUCUGAAUAUGGGGGGACCAUCCUCCAAGGCUAAAUACUCCUGACUGACCGAUAGUGAACCAGUACCGUGAGGGAAAGGCGAAAAGAACCCCGGCGAGGGGAGUGAAAAAGAACCUGAAACCGUGUACGUACAAGCAGUGGGAGCACGCUUAGGCGUGUGACUGCGUACCUUUUGUAUAAUGGGUCAGCGACUUAUAUUCUGUAGCAAGGUUAACCGAAUAGGGGAGCCGAAGGGAAACCGAGUCUUAACUGGGCGUUAAGUUGCAGGGUAUAGACCCGAAACCCGGUGAUCUAGCCAUGGGCAGGUUGAAGGUUGGGUAACACUAACUGGAGGACCGAACCGACUAAUGUUGAAAAAUUAGCGGAUGACUUGUGGCUGGGGGUGAAAGGCCAAUCAAACCGGGAGAUAGCUGGUUCUCCCCGAAAGCUAUUUAGGUAGCGCCUCGUGAAUUCAUCUCCGGGGGUAGAGCACUGUUUCGGCAAGGGGGUCAUCCCGACUUACCAACCCGAUGCAAACUGCGAAUACCGGAGAAUGUUAUCACGGGAGACACACGGCGGGUGCUAACGUCCGUCGUGAAGAGGGAAACAACCCAGACCGCCAGCUAAGGUCCCAAAGUCAUGGUUAAGUGGGAAACGAUGUGGGAAGGCCCAGACAGCCAGGAUGUUGGCUUAGAAGCAGCCAUCAUUUAAAGAAAGCGUAAUAGCUCACUGGUCGAGUCGGCCUGCGCGGAAGAUGUAACGGGGCUAAACCAUGCACCGAAGCUGCGGCAGCGACGCUGAUGCGUUGUUGGGUAGGGGAGCGUUCUGUAAGCCUGCGAAGGUGUGCUGUGAGGCAUGCUGGAGGUAUCAGAAGUGCGAAUGCUGACAUAAGUAACGAUAAAGCGGGUGAAAAGCCCGCUCGCCGGAAGACCAAGGGUUCCUGUCCAACGUUAAUCGGGGCAGGGUGAGUCGACCCCUAAGGCGAGGCCGAAAGGCGUAGUCGAUGGGAAACAGGUUAAUAUUCCUGUACUUGGUGUUACUGCGAAGGGGGGACGGAGAAGGCUAUGUUGGCCGGGCGACGGUUGUCCCGGUUUAAGCGUGUAGGCUGGUUUUCCAGGCAAAUCCGGAAAAUCAAGGCUGAGGCGUGAUGACGAGGCAC
RNAcentral lists this ribosomal RNA (1479 nucleotides) under Escherichia coli. RNAcentral's name for it is "partial 23S ribosomal RNA". It matches the Rfam family "Bacterial large subunit ribosomal RNA", at positions 55 to 1577 of the family's 2925-position model. The record is from RNAcentral. Lineage: Bacteria; Pseudomonadati; Pseudomonadota; Gammaproteobacteria; Enterobacterales; Enterobacteriaceae.